Molecule: ribosomal RNA, 238 nt
Filed under: Francisella tularensis subsp. holarctica
Lineage: Bacteria; Pseudomonadati; Pseudomonadota; Gammaproteobacteria; Thiotrichales; Francisellaceae
Description: partial 23S ribosomal RNA
Rfam family: Bacterial large subunit ribosomal RNA
Source: RNAcentral
UAAUAAAAUAAGUGCAAGCGGUGGAUGACUUGGCCUGCCUAUGCGAUGAAGGACGAGAUAAUCUGCGAUAAGAGUCGGUUAGCUGUUAAAUGAGCUAUGACCCGGAGAUUUCCGAUUGGGGGAACCAACCUGACACAAGUUGGGUACUCACUCGAUAUUGUGUGUAGAGCUAACGUGGGUAACUGAAACAUCUAAGUACCCUUAGGAAGAGAAAUCAUUUGAUAUUCCCGUUUUAGUG